RNAcentral lists this long non-coding RNA (775 nucleotides) under Olea europaea (common olive). Its description in RNAcentral is "long non-coding RNA (OEUR_LNC007491)". Lineage: Eukaryota; Viridiplantae; Streptophyta; Magnoliopsida; Lamiales; Oleaceae. The record is from RNAcentral.
UUCAUUUUUCAUUCUCUUGGUCUUCUUCACUAACUCUAGCGCUUUUUAUCUCUAUAAUCCUCUCACCUCUGAAAAUCAUACCUAUGGUUAUUUUUGUGUUCUAUAUCAAAUCUUGGCCUUAAUUUGUAGCCUUUAGUCUACUGUGAAGUCCGACUGUAGUGUUGGUUGUGUAUAAUGUUCUUGACGAGAUAUUUUGGGGCCUUUUGGGUCGGAUUUGAACUGUAUAAGGACAUUACUACACUUUAGUCUGGGUCUUGCAUCGAAAAGGUAUAGGUUAUUGCGAAAUCUAUUAUAGAUCGAAGAUCUAUUCUUAAUUUGAAGGUCCGAUUGUUGUAGUCCAAACUUUUGCUCUUUCUUAAGAAGUUCUUGCACAUAGUGAUGGGUUCUUACCUCUGAGCCCCUAGAGUAGGCUUUUGCCGAACUCGGUGACCAUUCUUGCGUUGAUAUUUUACUAUUUUGUGCUUGGUGGUUUCAAUUUGUGUGAUUAUUUCGUGUAUUGGUCGAAAAGCCCAACAAACUAGUAUCAAAGUCUCGUAAGGCGUAGGUAAGGCAUUUGCGAAUUUGAUUUAAGUAUUAUCAUAUUGAUGUGGUUUUGAUCUAUACAGUUCAAUAACUCGAAUUGAACGGAGUUUCCUGGAAGCUAGGGUUUGGUGUUCCAGUUCUGUAAUAAGCACUGGAGUUGGAUUUAAUGUUAUUAAUACACUAUAUUUUGGUGAGGCUGUUCCAAUUACAUUUCCAGCAUCUGAUUAGCAGGAGUUAAAUAGUAAAUGUGAAU